UGGCUUUUGAGAGCCUGAUUGAGCUCGACAGAGAUACGCUGCAUACUCGGUUGGAUAGCUCCCACGAGUGCCACUCCAGAGACGGGCGCUGUGCUUUCGCGUUGGUGUCGCUCAUGCCGGUUGGACUUGCUCUCCACGGACUAGUAGUGUGGAGGUAGCUGGAUAGUCACAACUGGGCAGGAACGGGUGUGUUCACAGUCCCAGGGACGGGUAUGCCUACAGUCCCGAUUGGAUUGGGUCAAAUUUGACAUUUCCUACGGUUGGUUAGUGUAGAGCAUGAUAGUGUAGUGAUCCAUAGCGGUAGAUUUUACUCUUGCAUUUACUAUUAUCUUUGCUCCCUUCUGUAGACUUAGUGGGUUGACCGAUGUUGUUGAGGGCGGCACCCACUGAGGACUACCUGUUUUUAUAGUAGUUCUCACGCCCUGUUGUUACCCCCUGUUUUUGCAGAGCCAUCGUCGUCGGCUGCUGCUGUCGCAGAUCAGGAUCGAGGCAAGGGUGUCACGAGUUAGAGCCCUACCAGACGUGCCGAGCUAGAGGUGCCCCUACUGUAGGUA
Molecule: long non-coding RNA, 554 nt
Filed under: Ananas comosus (pineapple)
Lineage: Eukaryota; Viridiplantae; Streptophyta; Magnoliopsida; Poales; Bromeliaceae
Description: long non-coding RNA (ACOM_LNC037017)
Source: RNAcentral